This 48-nucleotide transfer RNA is filed under the name Menneus camelus. RNAcentral describes it as "tRNA-Leu". The record is from RNAcentral. Lineage: Eukaryota; Metazoa; Arthropoda; Arachnida; Araneae; Deinopidae.
UAUUUUAUUGGCAGAUUAGUGCAUUAGAAUUAGAAUCUAAUUAAGAUU